RNAcentral lists this RNase P RNA (376 nucleotides) under Sphingobacteriaceae bacterium. RNAcentral's name for it is "RNase P RNA component class A". It matches the Rfam family "Bacterial RNase P class A". Rfam says of the family: Ribonuclease P (RNase P) is a ubiquitous endoribonuclease, found in archaea, bacteria and eukarya as well as chloroplasts and mitochondria. Its best characterised activity is the generation of mature 5'-ends of tRNAs by cleaving the 5'-leader elements of precursor-tRNAs. Lineage: Bacteria; Pseudomonadati; Bacteroidota; Sphingobacteriia; Sphingobacteriales; Sphingobacteriaceae. The record is from RNAcentral.
AAUGCAAGCUGUUCUAUCGCCCCGAUCUUGUAUCGGGGAGGAAAGUCCGGGCAACAUAUAGCAUCUCGCUUCCUAACAGGAAGGCAUUUAAGAAUGAAAACUUAAAUGACAGCAAGUGCCACAGAAAAUAUACCGCCCCGAUUUAUCGUGGUAAGGGUGAAAACGUGAGGUAAGAGCUCACGAAUUCGUUAAGUGAUUAACGUUUUGGUAAACCUCGGGAGUUGAAAGACCAAAUAGGCUAACGCAUGUAGGGCUGCUCGUCCGAUGUUAGUGGGUAGGUCGUUAAAGAUAAAUGGCGACAUUUAUAUUAGAUUAAUGAUAGAAGUCCCAGCCUUGUGUUGGGAAACAGAACCCGGCUUAUAAGCUUGCAUUUUUU